RNAcentral lists this ribosomal RNA (1410 nucleotides) under Rhinocypha spinifer. RNAcentral describes it as "eukaryotic LSU rRNA". It matches the Rfam family "Eukaryotic large subunit ribosomal RNA", at positions 597 to 1722 of the family's 3401-position model. Lineage: Eukaryota; Metazoa; Arthropoda; Insecta; Odonata; Chlorocyphidae. The record is from RNAcentral.
AUGAAACGAGAAGUCGACUCGCCUCUCACGGGCGUCCGGCCCUCCGCGAGCACCCGAGGGGGUUCGGGCCUCGGACCCGGUCCGAUCCCGUCCCCGCAUCGGGGCUGUCCGCGAAAGGAGGUGUCCUCGGACGGAGUCGAAAUUCUUCCCGGUCCGCGACGCUACGGCUUGGAUGGUCCACCCGACCCGUCUUGAAACACGGACCAAGGAGUCUAACAUGCGCGCGAGUCGUUGGGUCGGACACGAUCCGCUAAACCCAUAGGCGCAAUGAAAGUGAAGGCCGCUUUUCGGGCGGCCGAGGGAGGACGGGGCCGCCUUCCCGCGGUCCCCGCACCCCCGGGGCGUCUGAUCCCUCAUCGCGAGGGGAGGCGCACCCAGAGCGCACACGUUGGGACCCGAAAGAUGGUGAACUAUGCCUGGCCAGGACGAAGUCAGGGGAAACCCUGAUGGAGGUCCGUAGCGAUUCUGACGUGCAAAUCGAUCGUCGGAGCUGGGUAUAGGGGCGAAAGACUAAUCGAACCAUCUAGUAGCUGGUUCCCUCCGAAGUUUCCCUCAGGAUAGCUUGCGCUCGGAGGAGAGUCUCAUCCGGUAAAGCGAAUGAUUAGAGGCCUUGGGGCCGAAACGGCUUCAACCUAUUCUCAAACUUUAAAUGGGUGAGAACUCCGGCUUGCUCGAUUACUCGAAGCCGGAGACGGGGACCCUCCGGGGUUCCCCGGGAUCGGAGUGCACAGUGGGCCACUUUUGGUAAGCAGAACUGGCGCUGUGGGAUGAACCAAACGACGGGUUAAGGCGCCCGAAUCGACGCUCAUGGGAAACCAUGAAAGGUGUUGGUUGCUUAAGACAGCAGGACGGUGGCCAUGGAAGUCGGAAUCCGCUAAGGAGUGUGUAAUAACUCACCUGCCGAAGCAACUAGCCCUGAAAAUGGAUGGCGCUGAAGCGUCGUGCCUAUACCCGGCCGUCGCCGCAAGACGGACCCGGCCCUCGAAGUCGGGUGCCGCCUGACGCGGCGACGAGUAGGAGGGUCGCGGCGGCGAGCGCAGAAGGGUCUGGGCUCGAGCCUGCCUGGAGCCGCCGCCGGUGCAGAUCUUGGUGGUAGUAGCAAAUACUCCAGCGAGGCCCUGGAGGACUGAUGUGGAGAAGGGUUUCGUGUGAACAGCCGUUGCACACGAGUCAGUCGAUCCUAAGCCCUAGGAGAAAUCCGACGCCAACGGCGACGGGAGAAUUAUCAAACGAAAGACACCCGUUGAUCGGGCGAAAGGGAAUCCGGUUCCUAUUCCGGAACCCGGCAGCGGAACCGCUGUUUGUCGGGCCCUCACAAGGGGUUCGUCAGGGUAACCUAAAAGGGCCCGGAGACGCCGUCGGGAGCCCCGGAAAGAGUUUUCUUUUCUGCAUGAGCGUUCGAGUUCCCUG